GUUGUAUGGUUAAGUGACUAAGCGUACACGGUGGAUGCCUUGGCAGUCAGAGGCGAUGAAGGACGUAUUAACUUGCGAUAAGCCCAGAUUAGGCAGUAAAAGCCACUUGAGUCUGGGAUUUCCGAAUGGGGAAACCCAACUGCAUAAGCAGUUACUGUUAACUGAAUACAUAGGUUAACAGGGCGAACCGGGGGAACUGAAACAUCUAAGUACCCCGAGGAAAAGAAAUCAACCGAGAUUCCGAAAGUAGCGGCGAGCGAAAUUGGACUAGCCCUUAAGCUUUACACGCGUUAGACGAACGGUCUGGAAAGUCCGACGAUACAGGGUGAUAGUCCCGUAGUUGACGACGUGUGUUCAGUGAAAUCGAGUAGGGCGGGACACGUGAUAUCCUGUCUGAAUAUGGGGGGACCAUCCUCCAAGGCUAAAUACUACUGACUGACCGAUAGUGAACCAGUACCGUGAGGGAAAGGCGAAAAGAACCCCUGUGAGGGGAGUGAAAUAGAACCUGAAACCGUGUACGUACAAGCAGUAGGAGCAGGCUUUGUCCUGUGACUGCGUACCUUUUGUAUAAUGGGUCAGCGACUUAUAUUCAGUGGCAAGGUUAACCAUCUAGGGGAGCCGUAGGGAAACCGAGUCUUAACUGGGCGUUCAGUCUCUGGAUAUAGACCCGAAACCAGGUGAUCUAGCCAUGGGCAGGUUGAAGGUUGAGUAACAUCAACUGGAGGACCGAACCGACUAAUGUUGAAAAAUUAGCGGAUGACUUGUGGCUAGGGGUGAAAGGCCAAUCAAACCUGGAGAUAGCUGGUUCUCCCCGAAAGCUAUUUAGGUAGCGCCUCGGACGAAUACUACUGGGGGUAGAGCAC
RNAcentral lists this ribosomal RNA (863 nucleotides) under Vibrio parahaemolyticus. RNAcentral's name for it is "partial 23S ribosomal RNA". It matches the Rfam family "Bacterial large subunit ribosomal RNA", at positions 1 to 910 of the family's 2925-position model. Lineage: Bacteria; Pseudomonadati; Pseudomonadota; Gammaproteobacteria; Vibrionales; Vibrionaceae. The record is from RNAcentral.